This 492-nucleotide ribosomal RNA is filed under the name uncultured bacterium. Its description in RNAcentral is "partial 16S ribosomal RNA". It matches the Rfam family "Bacterial small subunit ribosomal RNA", at positions 29 to 507 of the family's 1533-position model. The record is from RNAcentral.
AGUGAACGCUGGCGGUAGGCCUAACACAUGCAAGUCGAACGGCAGCACAGUAAGAGCUUGCUCUUACGGGUGGCGAGUGGCGGACGGGUGAGGAAUACAUCGGAAUCUACUUUUUCGUGGGGGAUAACGUAGGGAAACUUACGCUAAUACCGCAUACGACCUACGGGUGAAAGCAGGGGAUCUUCGGACCUUGCGCGAUUGAAUGAGCCGAUGUCGGAGUAGCUGGUUGGCGGGGUAAAGGCCCACCAAGGCGACGAUCCGUAGCUGGUCUGAGAGGAUGAUCAGCCACACUGGAACUGAGACACGGUCCAGACUCCUACGGGAGGCAGCAGUGGGGAAUAUUGGACAAUGGGCGCAAGCCUGAUCCAGCCAUACCGCGUGGGUGAAGAAGGCCUUCGGGUUGUAAAGCCCUUUUGUUGGGAAAGAAAAGCAGCAGGUUAAUACCCCGCUGUUCUGACGGUACCCAAAGAAUAAGCACCGGCUAACUUCGUG